GCCGGCAUAGCUAUAAUUGGUAGAGCAGCGGAUUUGUAAUCCGAAGGUUGGGAGUUCGAGUCUCUCUGCCGGCACCA
RNAcentral lists this transfer RNA (77 nucleotides) under Thalassospira lucentensis. Its description in RNAcentral is "tRNA-Thr". It matches the Rfam family "tRNA". From Rfam's summary of the family: Transfer RNA (tRNA) molecules are approximately 80 nucleotides in length. Their secondary structure includes four short double-helical elements and three loops (D, anti-codon, and T loops). Lineage: Bacteria; Pseudomonadati; Pseudomonadota; Alphaproteobacteria; Rhodospirillales; Thalassospiraceae. RNAcentral also lists the same sequence under 10 other names. The record is from RNAcentral.